Equus caballus (horse) is the source of this 2760-nucleotide long non-coding RNA. Lineage: Eukaryota; Metazoa; Chordata; Mammalia; Perissodactyla; Equidae. The record is from Ensembl.
AUCACCGCAAAUAGUUACAAAUUCCUUUUUUUUCCCUUGUGAUGAGAACUUUUAACAUCUGCUCUCUUAGCAACUUUCAAAAAUACAAUACAGGGCAGAGGAUCUUAAUAGACAUUUUCCCAAAGAAGACAUACAGAUGGCCAAUAGGCACACGAGAAGAUGCUCAACAUCACUAAUCAUCAAGAAAAGAAGUCAAAACCACAAUGAGGUAUCACCUCAUAUAUGUUAGAAUAGCUAUAGUCAAAAAGACAAGGGAUAAGUGUUGGUGAGGAUGUGGAGAAAAGAGAACCCUUGUGCACCGUUGCUGGGAAUGUAAAUUGGCGCAGCCACUAUGGAAUAUAGUAUGCAGGUUUCUCAAAAAAUUAAAAAUAGAACUACUUACCAUAUGACCCAGCCAUCCCACUGCUGGGUAUUUAUCCGAAGAAAAUGAAAUCACUAUCCCAAAGAGAUAUCUGCACCCCCGUGUUCACUGCAGCAUAAUUUACAAUGGCGAAGACACAGAAGCAACCUAGAGGUCCAUCAACGGAUGAAUGGUGUUCAACAGAGAACAUUUCCUGACAGAGACUUGAGUGAAGGGGCCAGCUCCCCCAGUGCAGUGCUGGUAGUUGGGCUGGCUCAGAAAGACCAAUGUCCUGAGGCUGUUCUCCAGGGGGCCGGCUAGAGGAACAGGCAGUGAUGGUCUCCCAGGGAUGAAUUCUAGAUGCCUCACAGCUGCUGGGAGGAACAAUGCGGCAUGGUCAGGUUGCUAUGGCCUCAGGUGUUAGUGGAGGGAAGAUUGGGGCCCCUGGGAUCCUCACCGGAAGGCCAAGUUGCUGCCCUGGAAUCUUUGGCUUCGGGAACGCUGGAGAUUUGAGGCCCGGGCAUGCACAGUGCCUCCCCCUGUUCUGGCCAGGUGGGCUCGCCCCUGCACAGCUUGUGGAUCAGAGCCUGGGGCGAGAAGCUCCCCCACUGUGACUGUAAGUGGGGCAGGCGAGGCGUUGACAGGAUUGGGGUUUGCUUGAUAGGUAGCAUGAGCCAGACUCUUUAUGGACGAGUCUGAGAUGAGCGACCACCGGCACCUGGAGCACCAGGUGUUUCUCAUUCCAGGACUCCAGUCCCACCCCCGCAGAACUCCAGCUACAUCGAGCUUCCUCUGGGUAGAGUGGACACGCAGCAGCGCUUCGGGCCUGAUUUUGCCUUCUCUGAGCUGUCCCUGACUCUCAGGGCAUCCCGACCCAUCUGCUCCCUGCCCCUCCAUCAAGACCUGCUCUUACUCCCUGCACAUACCAGAAGUCAUGUAGUGGGGGGACAACACAACCAACUUUUUUAAGUCUCAAAAGGAUGUCAAUUGAAACCUGUUAUAGACGAAAUGCACUUCCUAGAAGUCAAUUGGCCAACAUGCAGAGCUGGAGAGAACAGAUUGUGAAAAUAGGAGGCCCUAAAGAUUACAGUGAGGCAGAAUCAAGGAAAGAAGGAGAAAGCCCCAGAAUCAUGGGUGCAGACUUGUAGCAUUGGAUCAGAGAUUCUGACUUUGCCAUACUGAGAGAUUGCCAUCAGCCAAACUAGAGGAAAACAAAGCUGGACUUCCGCACUCUCAUUUCUUAGUGCUUCUCCUCAACAUCCGGGAACCUCGGCACGUCUGCAGUUGAUUUUGAAAAUUGCACUAAGUAAGAUGAAAUUUCUUGUAACCCAGAGCAGCAAAGAAGAUAUUCUGCAGCAACUAGGGGGAAAGAGUGGUUCCUUAAGUCAAUGCACAUGGGAGCCUGCUGUCCAGAGACCGGGCUGUCUUCAGGCGAUGCAGGACAGUUUUCCCGUCUCUAUUAGUCUGCUGGGGCUGUCCUAACAAAAUGCCACAGACUUGGUAGAUUAAACAGCCAUUAAAAAAAAAGAGGGGCCAGCCCUGUGGUGCAGCGGUUAAGUUUGCAGGUUUCCCUUUGGCAGCCCGGGGUUCACCGGUUCAGACCCCAGUUUUAUUAGGACACAACUGUAGCCAUUUGUUUACUACUAUCUAUGGCUCUUUGACGCUGCACAGCUGAGUGAAAAGAUGUGGAAAAGAUUACCAGACCUGCAUCUGUCUUCAGAGCUGAGCUGUCACUGCUAUCAUCAUCCACCACAUCAAACAGAGAAACUGCCACCUUUAGCCAUCUAGACUCGCCCAGGAGGUGUCUGAACUGGACAUAGGCCUUGGACAACAAUUCAGACAGCUCACCGCUCCUCUGAAGGGGCCAGCUUUCAUCUUCAUUGAAAGCCGAAUGAAGGAAGCCCAUUCCUUCUUCAUUCCCAGAGACCAUUUCUACUCCUGCCAGAUGUCUGCCAGGGCCCUGAAGUACCUAACAGCCCAAUCCAGUCAUUUCACCUUUGAAUCAGUUAUUGUGGCCCAGAUUCCAGAUCUCUUCUGAAUUUGCAGCAUCUUCUCAGUUACAGGCCUGCUGGUCAUCAAAAUAACUCCUACACUCUGCUCAACUCCUCAGUACUACCUGGACAAAAGUCUACUUCUUAUUUUCAAUAAAUGUCAGACGCUGUUAAAAAAGAGUAGUUGACUAGUUACAGGCGACACCGUAUGACCCAUAAAGGCUGAAAUAUUUGCUAUCUGACCAUUUACAGAAAAAGUUUCCUAAUCCCUGAUCUAGGGAAAGAUUAGCAUGAAAUGCAGUUGGAGUGGUAGGUGCCUGCUAUUAAGACAGAAAUCUCUCCGAGUGCUCAAAGCAAUCAUUAUUUCAGGGCUCCAAUUCGACUACCCAUAAUUAUAGAAUGAUAGAAGCAGAAGUACCUCAAGAGACA